Molecule: ribosomal RNA, 253 nt
Filed under: uncultured bacterium
Lineage: Bacteria
Description: partial 16S ribosomal RNA
Rfam family: Bacterial small subunit ribosomal RNA
Source: RNAcentral
UACGUAGGGGGCAAGCGUUAUCCGGAAUCACUGGGUGUAAAGGGUGAGUAGGCGGCUUGGUAAGUCAUAUGUGAAAUUCCGAUGCUUAACAUCGGAACUGCAUAAGAAACUGUCAGGCUAGAGUAUGGGAGAGGUAAGUGGAAUUCCUAGUGUAGCGGUGAAAUGCGUAGAUAUUAGGAGGAACACCAGUGGCGAAGGCGACUUACUGGACCAAAACUGACGCUGAGUCACGAAAGCGUGGGGAGCAAACAGG